AUGAAAGAGAAAGAUAGUGAUUUAUCUUACACAGUUCAAGUGGAUGAUGAAAGCCGGAUUAGGACAUUGUUGUGGUCUAAUGGUAGAAGCAAAUUGCAAUACCACUAUUUCGGAGAUGCAGUGACAUUUGACACUACUUACAAGACAAACCUGUAUGACAUGCCGUUUGGGCUGUUUGUAGGUGUUAACAAUCAUUUCCAGAGCACUAUUUUUGCUGGUGUUCUUAUGAGGGACGAGCAGUCAGAAAGUUUUGAACAGGUUUUCCGUGAGUUUGUGAAGAUGAUGGGAGGAAAGGUUCCAGUGACUAUUCUUACUGAUAAUUUUUUUGUUUGUUUUCAAUCUGAAAAGUUAAUAAAAGAUGUCAUUUGUGCUAUAGGAAUGAUUUUGAUUAGUACUAUAUAUGUAAUUUAUGGUAAUAUAAAUAAUUUUUAA
Molecule: ribosomal RNA, 432 nt
Filed under: Triticum aestivum (bread wheat)
Lineage: Eukaryota; Viridiplantae; Streptophyta; Magnoliopsida; Poales; Poaceae
Description: partial small subunit ribosomal RNA
Source: RNAcentral